AACGAACGCUGGCGGCAUGCCUAACACAUGCAAGUCGAACGAGACCUUCGGGUCUAGUGGCGCACGGGUGCGUAACGCGUGGGAAUCUGCCCUUGGGUUCGGAAUAACAGUUAGAAAUGACUGCUAAUACCGGAUAAUGUCUUCGGACCAAAGAUUUAUCGCCCAGGGAUGAGCCCGCGUAGGAUUAGCUAGUUGGUGAGGUAAAGGCUCACCAAGGGCGACGAUCCUUAGCUGGUCUGAGAGGAUGAUCAGCCACACUGGGACUGAGACACGGCCCAGACUCCUACGGGAGGCAGCAGUGGGGAAUAUUGGACAAUGGGCGAAAGCCUGAUCCAGCAAUGCCGCGUGAGUGAUGAAGG
This 359-nucleotide ribosomal RNA is filed under the name uncultured bacterium. RNAcentral's name for it is "bacterial SSU rRNA". It matches the Rfam family "Bacterial small subunit ribosomal RNA", at positions 29 to 414 of the family's 1533-position model. The record is from RNAcentral.